UUUGGAAACUAGUAACCCUGCUGAACCCACUGAGCUGUUCUUGUUUACGUAGCUAAGCAGGGUCAGGCCUAGUUAGUCCUCCGAUUUGAGACCACCAGGGAAUACUAGGAAUUUCUAGGU
Molecule: ribosomal RNA, 120 nt
Filed under: Pogona vitticeps (central bearded dragon)
Lineage: Eukaryota; Metazoa; Chordata; Lepidosauria; Squamata; Agamidae
Source: RNAcentral